Molecule: ribosomal RNA, 293 nt
Filed under: uncultured bacterium
Lineage: Bacteria
Description: partial 16S ribosomal RNA
Rfam family: Archaeal small subunit ribosomal RNA
Source: RNAcentral
GUGGCAGCAGCCGCGGUAACACCGGCAGCUCGAGUGAUGGCCGAUUUUAUUGGGCCUAAAGCGUCCGUAGCCUGCCGUACGGGUCCGUCGGGAAAUCCGCCCGCUUAACGGGCGGACGUCCGGCGGAAACUGCACAGCUUGGGACCGGAAGGCUCGAAGGGUACGUUCGGGGUAGGAGUGAAAUCCCAUAAUCCCGCACGGACCACCGAUGGCGAAAGCACUUCGAGAAAACGGAUCCGACAGUGAGGGACGAAAGCCAGGGUCUCCAACCGGAUUAGAAACCCUAGUAGUCC